Bombyx mori (domestic silkworm) is the source of this 999-nucleotide long non-coding RNA. RefSeq lists it as uncharacterized. NCBI's taxonomy places the organism in Eukaryota, Metazoa, Arthropoda, Insecta, Lepidoptera, Bombycidae. The transcript is spliced from 4 exons. The record is from RefSeq and is a predicted model, not a curated record.
UUCAGCCUGGACUGCAGCCAUAUCCUGUAAAAAAAAACAUUGUUUACUAAGACAACAUUUAUCAAAAAACGAGACAAUAUAGCUAAGUUUUUCCACCUUGGCCUGGAUAGAAGUGCUUCGCAGAAUCUACCACCGGAUCGGAAACGCGACCCACUGAGAAGAUCCGGCGAGAAACUCAGUGGGCUGAGUUUGUGGGUUAAUUUACUCGCCGAGCCCUUCGUCGCAAGCGACGGGUUUGACGAGAACGAUGACCGCUGCUUGAGGUAUCUAAAAACACCACACGGAAUUCAUAUACUGCCAGAAAGAUGGGAGAAAGUAGUCACUAGCGAUGGUCAAUACUGUGAAUAAAAUGUUUUUGUUCCUUUAAUUGAAAUAAAGCUUUUAUUUUCAAAACGAAACAGCGAGAACUUAAUAGCCUAAUAAAGUGAUGCUGAUAGACAAGUUUAUGGUUCCACCUUUAUGAAUGCAUCUAUUACUGAAUUGGUCACACAAUUCUUCCUAAGCAUACUCUAUAAAAAAAAUGUCUAGCAGUCUAUUUGAGCAAUUGACAAUUACAUCCUUGUCUCGUUUAGUAAACUCUUAUAUGCAGUAAACAUAAUUCAAAUUAUUUAAAGCUGUUGAAAUUUUCAGGUGAAAAGUGACAAAUUGUGUGUUUAUAAUAAUGACGUGGUUUGCACACUGAAUGAACUUACUCUUUCAUAUUAUUUUGGAACUGUGACUGCUGUAGCGAAUUAUUUAAGAAAGUAGUCGGUUCUCAGUCGUCUGCCAAGUAGUGAUAAUGUCUUCUUAUUUUUAUGAUUUUUUAUCUCAGUCUUACUACUUUUUCAGAAGGGUAUUUAUAAGAACAAUCCAUGCAGGAAGAGAUACAAGGCGAUUCAGUAAAAUUAUUAACAGUUCAGUAAAAAGCAUAGUAAAAUUAUUAAUUCAAUGAGCACAAACACUACUCACCUAAGUAAUUGUAAUUUAAUCCUUCAAACUCAAAAUAAUAUUUAAGAAAGA